This 63-nucleotide transfer RNA is filed under the name Rattus norvegicus (Norway rat). It matches the Rfam family "tRNA". From Rfam's summary of the family: Transfer RNA (tRNA) molecules are approximately 80 nucleotides in length. Lineage: Eukaryota; Metazoa; Chordata; Mammalia; Rodentia; Muridae. The record is from Rfam by way of RNAcentral.
GGGGAUUUAGCUCAGUGGUAGAGCGCUUGCCUAGUAAGCACAAGGCCCUGAGUUCAGUCCCCA